Molecule: ribosomal RNA, 253 nt
Filed under: uncultured bacterium
Lineage: Bacteria
Description: partial 16S ribosomal RNA
Rfam family: Bacterial small subunit ribosomal RNA
Source: RNAcentral
UACAGAGACCUCGAGCGUUAUCCGGAUUCAUUGGGCGUAAAGCGCAUGUAGGCGGAUAUAUUAGUCAGAUGUCAAAUCUUCGAGCUCAACUCGAAAACUGCAUUUGAAACGGUAUAUCUUGAGAAAGGGAGAGACCAGUGGAACAUAUGGUGUAGCAGUGAAAUGCGUUGAUAUCAUAUGGAACACCAAAGGCGAAGGCAUCUGGUUGGCCCUUUUCUGACGCUGAGAUGCGAAAGCGUGGGUAGCGAAUGGG